RNAcentral lists this small RNA (121 nucleotides) under Marmota monax (woodchuck). Lineage: Eukaryota; Metazoa; Chordata; Mammalia; Rodentia; Sciuridae. The record is from RNAcentral.
GCUGGGCAUGGUGGUGCAUGCCUGUAAUCUCAACGACUCUGGAGGCUGAGGCAGGAGGAUUGCAAAUAGCCUCAGCAACUUAGCAAGAGACCCUAAGCAACUUAGCGAGACCCUGUCUCAA